RNAcentral lists this long non-coding RNA (301 nucleotides) under Mytilus galloprovincialis (Mediterranean mussel). The record is from RNAcentral. Lineage: Eukaryota; Metazoa; Mollusca; Bivalvia; Mytilida; Mytilidae.
UGUACUCAUUCAUUAUAAGGUGCAUUCAAUUUCAGUACACAUAAUAUUUUAAUUAUCUUAAUUGUGUGUCUGAACAUUAUACUGAUGUGACCAUUAUCAUAUCCUAUUGCUUACAUUUGUAGUUUUUGUUAUAGAAUUUGUGAUUGGUGCAUAAUUUUAAUACUAAAUAUUUAUACAUUGUGAUCAAAUUGAUUUGAAUCCAUAAUUGCAUUAUGGCAGAUUUUACAAUAAGAAGGAAUUAUUGUUUUUUGUAUCCAUCAAAAAAGCAAUUGCUGAAACUGUGAAACAGACUGUGUAAUGG